This 496-nucleotide ribosomal RNA is filed under the name Bacillus amyloliquefaciens. RNAcentral describes it as "bacterial SSU rRNA". It matches the Rfam family "Bacterial small subunit ribosomal RNA", at positions 12 to 486 of the family's 1533-position model. The record is from RNAcentral. Lineage: Bacteria; Bacillati; Bacillota; Bacilli; Caryophanales; Bacillaceae.
UUUGAUUCUGGCUCAGGACGAACGCUGGCGGCGUGCCUAAUACAUGCAAGUCGAGCGGACAGAUGGGAGCUUGCUCCCUGAUGUUAGCGGCGGACGGGUGAGUAACACGUGGGUAACCUGCCUGUAAGACUGGGAUAACUCCGGGAAACCGGGGCUAAUACCGGAUGGUUGUCUGAACCGCAUGGUUCAGACAUAAAAGGUGGCUUCGGCUACCACUUACAGAUGGACCCGCGGCGCAUUAGCUAGUUGGUGAGGUAACGGCUCACCAAGGCGACGAUGCGUAGCCGACCUGAGAGGGUGAUCGGCCACACUGGGACUGAGACACGGCCCAGACUCCUACGGGAGGCAGCAGUAGGGAAUCUUCCGCAAUGGACGAAAGUCUGACGGAGCAACGCCGCGUGAGUGAUGAAGGUUUUCGGAUCGUAAAGCUCUGUUGUUAGGGGAAAGGAACAAGUGCCGUUCAAAUAAGGGCGGCACCUUGACGGAACCGAACCAG